ACCAAAUGUGUGUCCGACCGUCCUGUUGUUAUCCGUUUGUUGUCCCUGUAUAUAUGUGAGCUGUUGCCUCUCAAAAAAAUAUAUAUCAAUCCUUUAUCUUUGCUCUCUCUCUCUCUCUCUCUUUUUCUCUCUCUAUCUCUCUGUCUCUCUAUCUCUAUCUCUCUCUCUCUCGAUCUCUAUCUAUCUCUUCCUUCUUAGAAAUUCAUAGUCUAUGACGUAUAUACCUGAGGUUAAAGUAAGAACUCUUUUUCUUCUUUUUCUUUUUCUUUCUUUUUUUUCGAAAUAUCGAUCUUUAGAAUAUGAUUGCAAUCCCUCCUCUACAGCAGCGUUUCUCAAUCUUUUUUUUUUUUUUUUUUUUGUUCUACAGCCCAAUACAUUGUAAGAUUUGUUUGUAACAAUACCACAUGUGACGUAUAUCCCUGAUGUCUCUGACGUAAGAGCGUAAGAGUGCGUAAGCACUUUUUUUUAAUCCUUAUUUUUUGAAAUAUCGAUCUUUUUUAUAAUCUGAUUAUAAUCCCUUCUAUAGCAGCGUUUUAAUAUAUAUAUAUUAUAUAUAUAUAUAUACACUUGUUUGUAACGAUAUCAUCCCUAUGAUCAGUCUAAUGUUUUAUAAUACAAAAAGAAAUAUUAUAUUUAAGAAUUCAUUAAACCUCUGGGAGUCAUUUCUUCAUAGAUGUUAUUUUAAAGAUAACAUGGCUCUAUUACUGCAGAUAUUCUCGCAAGAAUUCUUCCCAAGAAUGUUCUAGAGAACAUAGAUUCAAGAACUUUCACGAAUUCUCUGAACAAAUUUAUCAUUUUGUUUGUUUUGUUCUGAAAGAGAAUAGAAGCUAUUAUUACGCGGGGUCUAAUUAAAAAUUUAAUACGGCCCAUAAGUUGAGAAACGCUGCUAUAUAAAACGUCGUGAAACUUUCAAAUGUCACAUGCCUGAGGUAUAUGCAUAUGUGUUACACAUGUACGUAUCUUAAUUUUCUUUCUUUCUUUCUUUUUUUCUUUUUUUUUUUAAUCUUAUUUUAUUUUAUCACCGUAAAAUUCUUUGUUAGUUUAUCUACGAAAUUUUUAAUGUAUUUUUUUCGUCGAUUUUAUACUUGAUACAAUAUGAUGAUAUAUUACACCACACACACACACAUAUAUAUAUAUAUAUAUAUAUAUAUAUAUAUAUAUACCGGGUGUUAAAAAUAUAGCAUACUUUUUUUAGUCAUAUUCCACGUAAAGAAAAAUUAAGUUAUAGAGGGUUAAACAUUUGUGUUAUGUGGAUAUCUCAGAAUAAGUGGAUAAUAUUUUAGUGCUGGCUUCGGUAAAAUGAAAUUUGAAAAAAAAAAAGAAAAAGAUUCAUAUAAACAUACGUCCUAUUUGACUUUGUAGUCAAAGUUGGUACAUAGUUUUAAAAUAGUACAUUAAGUGUAUGUCUCUCUCUCUCUCUCUCUCUCUCUCUCUCUCUCUCCCUCCUCUCUCUCUCUCUCUCUCUCUAGUGUGUGUUUGUAUCUAUAAUGUAGAGUAUUUGAGAAAAUUAACAGUUUUAAAACUAAUAGAAAAUUACAUUCUUUUUGUUGAAUAGAUGCGUAUAUGUGUUAUUAGAUGGGUCGGUCUUGUAAUAUAUUUCACAAACAGAUAUUAAAUGGAAAAAUGUCUUUUUAUAUGCACAUAGACCUAUUUCUUAAUUACAUAUAUCUAUAAAUAGAAACGAUAGAGAGAGAGUGAGAGAGA
Molecule: long non-coding RNA, 1704 nt
Organism: Vespa velutina
Lineage: Eukaryota; Metazoa; Arthropoda; Insecta; Hymenoptera; Vespidae
Exons: 2
Source: RefSeq, a predicted model, not a curated record